AGUGAACGCUGGCGGUAGGCCUAACACAUGCAAGUCGAACGGCAGCACAGUAAGAGCUUGCUCUUACGGGUGGCGAGUGGCGGACGGGUGAGGAAUACAUCGGAAUCUACUUUUUCGUGGGGGAUAACGUAGGGAAACUUACGCUAAUACCGCAUACGACCUACGGGUGAAAGCAGGGGAUCUUCGGACCUUGCGCGAUUGAAUGAGCCGAUGUCGGAUUAGCUAGUUGGCGGGGUAAAGGCCCACCAAGGCGACGAUCCGUAGCUGGUCUGAGAGGAUGAUCAGCCACACUGAAACUGAGACACGGUCCAGACUCCUACGGGAGGCAGCAGUGGGGAAUAUUGGACAAUGGGCGCAAGCCUGAUCCAGCCAUACCGCGUGGGUGAAGAAGGCCUUCGGGUUGUAAAGCCCUUUUGUUGGGAAAGAAAAGCAGCAGGUUAAUACCCCGCUGUUCUGACGGUACCCAAAGAAUAAGCACCGGCUAACUUCG
This 490-nucleotide ribosomal RNA is filed under the name uncultured bacterium. RNAcentral's name for it is "partial 16S ribosomal RNA". It matches the Rfam family "Bacterial small subunit ribosomal RNA", at positions 29 to 505 of the family's 1533-position model. The record is from RNAcentral.